This 496-nucleotide ribosomal RNA is filed under the name uncultured bacterium. RNAcentral's name for it is "partial 16S ribosomal RNA". It matches the Rfam family "Bacterial small subunit ribosomal RNA", at positions 29 to 507 of the family's 1533-position model. The record is from RNAcentral.
ACGAACGCUGGCGGCGUGCCUAAUACAUGCAAGUUGAGCGCUGAAGGUUGGUACUUGUACCAACUGGAUGAGCAGCGAACGGGUGAGUAACGCGUGGGGAAUCUGCCUUUGAGCGGGGGACAACAUUUGGAAACGAAUGCUAAUACCGCAUAAAAACUUUAAACACAAGUUUUAAGUUUGAAAGAUGCAAUUGCAUCACUCAAAGAUGAUCCCGCGUUGUAUUAGCUAGUUGGUGAGGUAAAGGCUCACCAAGGCGAUGAUACCUAGCCGACCUGAGAGGGUGAUCGGCCACAUUGGGACUGAGACACGGCCCAAACUCCUACGGGAGGCAGCAGUAGGGAAUCUUCGGCAAUGGACGAAAGUCUGACCGAGCAACGCCGCGUGAGUGAAGAAGGUUUUCGGAUCGUAAAACUCUGUUGGUAGAGAAGAACGUUGGUGAGAGUGGAAAGCUCAUCAAGUGACGGUAACUACCCAGAAAGGGACGGCUAACUACGUG